RNAcentral lists this long non-coding RNA (1862 nucleotides) under Musa acuminata (dwarf banana). RNAcentral describes it as "long non-coding RNA (MACU_LNC003230)". The record is from RNAcentral. Lineage: Eukaryota; Viridiplantae; Streptophyta; Magnoliopsida; Zingiberales; Musaceae.
GAGAGAGAACUCUGUGUUCAGGGAGAGCUACCGCUCAGGGCCGACACCAGGUCACUCUACAGAUGGCCUCAGCUACUCUCCUCAAGUCCUCUUUCCUACCCAAAAGGUCAGAAUGGCACGCAGCUGCGCGCAAAUCCUCCAACCCUCAACCGGUGGCAGUCUCCUUCACCGUCCGCGCCGGCGCCUACUCCGACGAGCUCGUCAAGACCGCGGUAACGCCACCUACUAUGUUCUAUGUUCCGUAUUAAGAUCAAGAUUGAGCACCCUUCACGAUCUGAAGUACCGAAUGCUACAUGCAGAAAACUAUCGCGUCGCCAGGGAGGGGGAUACUCGCCAUGGAUGAAUCCAACGCCACCUGCGGCAAAAGACUCGCAUCAAUUGGGCUGGAGAACACAGAGGCAAACCGACAAGCUUACAGGACCCUCCUUGUCUCAGCUCCUGGUCUGGGCCAGUACAUCUCUGGGGCAAUCCUGUUCGAGGAAACUCUCUACCAGUCAACUACGGAUGGUAAGAAGAUGGUCGAUGUUCUUGUUGAGCAAAAGAUAGCGCCAGGGAUCAAAGUUGACAAGGUGAGCACUCGAUCUUUGGCAACACGUAUGGAAUUGUCAUAUUGUUUUACUCACAUCUAGGAUUGUGUUCUACUUCCAUCCUGUUUGUGUUAUCAGGGUCUGGUGCCACUUACUGGCUCAAAUGAUGAAUCAUGGUGCCAAGGAUUGGAUGGCCUCGCGUCGCGAUGUGCAGCAUACUAUCAACAGGGAGCUCGCUUUGCUAAAUGGUAAGAUACACUGUUGCAUCCUGGAAUUUAAUUGUGUGCAUGUUUGGAGGCCAUGCUUAUGUCCGGCUUGUUGCAGGCGUACAGUGGUCAGCAUUCCAAACGGCCCAUCAGCUCUCGCAGUGAAGGAAGCUGCUUGGGGUCUGGCUCGAUACGCUGCCAUUGCUCAAGUACAUCUCCUUCACUUCCAUUCUUUCAUCAUUAUAGGAUCAGUGAAUACAACUCCUUUCAGUAUGCACACGCUACGAGCAGAAAGCAGCCUCGACUAAUCUUCUCGUCUUGUUUGCAGGACAAUGGCCUGGUUCCAAUUGUGGAGCCUGAGAUACUGCUCGACGGAGAGCACGGGAUCGAUAGGACGUUUGAGGUCGCACAGAAAGUUUGGGCUGAGGUCUUCUUUUACUUGGCUGAGAACAACGUCAUGUUCGAAGGUAUCCUCCUCAAGCCAAGCAUGGUCACCCCCGGCGCCGAGUGCAAAGAGAAGGCCACACCGGAGCAGGUCGCCGACUACACCCUGAAGCUCCUGCACAGAAGAGUCCCAUCUGCUGUUCCUGGCAUUAUGGUACGCAGCACCACCAUGAUCAUCUUGUUCGCUUCUCUCAUAGAGGUGAUGAUUGAUGCCCAUUCACCUGUAAAUGUUUUGGCGAACAGUUCCUCUCCGGUGGACAGUCGGAAGUGGAGGCAACCCUGAACCUGAAUGCCAUGAACCAGAGCCCCAACCCAUGGCACGUCUCCUUCUCUUACGCGAGAGCUCUGCAGAACACCUGCCUGAAGACAUGGGGAGGAAGACCGGAGAACGUGAAGGCUGCGCAGGAUGUGCUCCUAGUCCGGGCCAAGGCCAACUCGCUCGCUCAGCUCGGGAAGUACUCAGCCGAGGGCGAAGCUGCAGAAGCUAAAGAGGGGAUGUACGUCAAGAACUACAGCUACUGAGAACCCAGCAAAGCAUGAUAUCUUCUAUAUCUCUGUGGAUUUUGAUUACCGGUCUGUUCAAGGAAGACGACGAUCGAUGUAGUUGAAUGUUUAAGCCUGCAUAAGACUGCAUUUGGUAUUAAGUAUCGAUUGAAUACAGCUUGUUAGCUGCGUCUGUUGCAAA